AAAUCUUAUUAAAUUAAACUGCAAAUUUAAAAUUGAUAAUUAAAAUUUAUCUAAGAUUUU
This 60-nucleotide transfer RNA is filed under the name Rhipicephalus appendiculatus. Its description in RNAcentral is "tRNA-Cys". The record is from RNAcentral. Lineage: Eukaryota; Metazoa; Arthropoda; Arachnida; Ixodida; Ixodidae.